Molecule: unclassified non-coding RNA, 201 nt
Filed under: Hevea brasiliensis (rubber tree)
Lineage: Eukaryota; Viridiplantae; Streptophyta; Magnoliopsida; Malpighiales; Euphorbiaceae
Source: RNAcentral
CGCUCUCCUUCUCCUUGGGAAGAAGAAAAGGUAAGAUCUAGAUCCCAGUCUAGGUCAUGGUCGAGGCCAAGAGGAAGAUCUAGGUCCAGAAGUCAAGGAAGAGUUGAACCUUCUAAUCCUGGCACCACACUUUAUGUAACUGGUUUAUCCACAAGGGUGACACAGAGGGACCUUGAGGAGCAUUUCUCAAAGGAGGGAAAG